Otolemur garnettii (small-eared galago) is the source of this 83-nucleotide unclassified non-coding RNA. It matches the Rfam family "Y RNA". From Rfam's summary of the family: Y RNAs are components of the Ro ribonucleoprotein particle (Ro RNP), in association with Ro60 and La proteins. The Y RNAs and Ro60 and La proteins are well conserved, but the function of the Ro RNP is not known. The record is from Ensembl. NCBI's taxonomy places the organism in Eukaryota, Metazoa, Chordata, Mammalia, Primates, Galagidae.
AUCUGGUCCGAUGGUAGUGGACCAGAUUAGUGUCACUGAAAGUUAGUAUUCAACCCCUCACUGCUAAAUUUGACUGGCUUUUU